Molecule: unclassified non-coding RNA, 299 nt
Filed under: plant metagenome
Description: partial contains 5.8S ribosomal RNA, internal transcribed spacer 2, and large subunit ribosomal RNA
Rfam family: 5.8S ribosomal RNA (bases 1-105)
Source: RNAcentral
GAAAUGCGAUAAGUAAUGUGAAUUGCAGAAUUCAGUGAAUCAUCGAAUCUUUGAACGCACAUUGCGCCCCCUGGUAUUCCGGGGGGCAUGCCUGUUCGAGCGUCAUUUCACCACUCAAGCCUCGCUUGGUAUUGGGCGACGCGGUCCGCCGCGCGCCUCAAAUCGACCGGCUGGGUCUUUCGUCCCCUCAGCGUUGUGGAAACUAUUCGCUAAAGGGUGCCGCGGGAGGCCACGCCGCAAAACAACCCCAUUUCUAAGGUUGACCUCGGAUCAGGUAGGGAUACCCGCUGAACUUAAGC